UCCUUGGUGGUCCAGUGGCUAAGACUCCUUACUCCCAAUUAAGGAGGCCCAGGUUCAAUCCCUGGUCAGGGAA
Cervus elaphus (red deer) is the source of this 73-nucleotide non-coding RNA. NCBI's taxonomy places the organism in Eukaryota, Metazoa, Chordata, Mammalia, Artiodactyla, Cervidae. The record is from the annotation of a RefSeq genome assembly.